GAUAAAAUAAGACAUCCUAAUAGGACACUUACAUAAAGGAGCUUGCAGGACUGAAUGUUGCUCUGGGUGAGUCAGUGAGUGAGUGGUGAGUGAAUGUGAAGGCCUAGAACAUUAGUGUACACCACCAU
Sapajus apella (tufted capuchin) is the source of this 128-nucleotide long non-coding RNA. RefSeq lists it as uncharacterized. NCBI's taxonomy places the organism in Eukaryota, Metazoa, Chordata, Mammalia, Primates, Cebidae. The transcript has 4 exons. The record is from RefSeq and is a predicted model, not a curated record.